AGGGCUAUGGCCAAGCGGAAAGGCACUAGACUUUGACUCUAGUAUUCCCUGGUUCGAAUCCAGGUAGCCCUGCCA
Molecule: transfer RNA, 75 nt
Filed under: Erysipelothrix sp.
Lineage: Bacteria; Bacillati; Bacillota; Erysipelotrichia; Erysipelotrichales; Erysipelotrichaceae
Description: tRNA-Gln
Rfam family: tRNA
About the family: Transfer RNA (tRNA) molecules are approximately 80 nucleotides in length.
Source: RNAcentral